AGGACACUAACCCUUCCUAUUUUGCACACAACCAUCACUUUCGGCAACCUGCUUACUGAAGGUGUCCUAGAUGAAGGUGAUUGCUCGAGUUAUUUUGGAAAGCUUCAAGGUAAGGGGAAUUGCUAAUAAUAAGUUUCGAUGAGCACAAGAAAUGUGUUACUUGUAUAUAUAUUAUUAGUUAUAAUUAGGGGUGUUGUGUACUUAAUAGUAAUUUAAAUUCAUUAAGGUAUAUGCAAAAUGCAAAAUGAUGAGUGAUUGAUUUGGUUUGAGUUUAUGUGAAUAAAUCUUCAGCAAUGAUAUGAUUUGAAAAUGUUUUGUGAAGAAUAAUAAAUAAAUUAUCUAUGUUUUUGGUUUGUUUAUUUAUAAUAAUAUCUAUGUGCUUGAGUAUUUAUGGUGAAAGUUUGAGGUGAUCUCAUAAGUUUUAUUAGAAGUGUUGAGGAUUAAUAUGUCAAGUUAGAUAUUGACAAAGAAAACUUAAGUUGAAAAGUUGAACGGUUAAUCACCUUUGAUAGGUGAAGAGCAAAACAGGGUGUUUCUUACAAUACGAUAAUGUAUGUAAGACUGAGGAUAGGUUCGGCUAGGUCGCCUCAAGACCUACUGGGGAUCACCGGCGUUUUGAACUCCUACCAAUAGUCAGAGAUAGCCACUCUGACUGGAGGAAAUCAUACAACCCGACGUGGUGAAACCUGACUGUGCAGGACUAUCUAUAAUAAGGUGUAGCGCUCGGGCCAGAAUGGUUGAGACAUAUUUGAUAUAUGUUGAUUUGCAAACAACCAUGUUAUGGCAGUUGAAACGGCCUUACGCUCAUAAUAGAGGUCUCCAUGGAGUAGGUUGAAUAAAGAUAAUACUAACCAAGUUAGAAGACUAACUUUGAGUGAAAAUUAUGAUUGGAUUUUAUAUACAUUUUAAAUGAUUAAAUCUCGAUGUUUGAUAUAUUUGAUGAUUGAUAUAUUGGAUAUAUUCGAUUAUCUUUGUUUUUGACUAAUUGUUGAAUUAUGAUAUUGAUAUAAUGUUUUGUGCAAUUCAUAUUUUUGUGACUAUUUGACUAUACGUGACUAUUUGACUACUUGAUUCUAUUUGAUGUAAAUACAUGAUUAGAUACUCAGGUAUGUAUAUAUAAUAGUUAAAUAAAUGUAUAUACUUGUAUAAUAUUAUGUGUAGCCUUGUGACAUCAUCACGAUGGUAACUUGUGUACGAGUGAUUCACCCCUUACAACAGUUAGUGCAGGAUACUAAGACCUCAAGUUGAAGUUCAUUGA
Trifolium pratense (red clover) is the source of this 1258-nucleotide long non-coding RNA. RefSeq lists it as uncharacterized. The transcript has 2 exons. The record is from RefSeq and is a predicted model, not a curated record. NCBI's taxonomy places the organism in Eukaryota, Viridiplantae, Streptophyta, Magnoliopsida, Fabales, Fabaceae.